This 466-nucleotide long non-coding RNA is filed under the name Oryctolagus cuniculus (rabbit). RNAcentral's name for it is "lncRNA (ENSOCUG00000039086.1)". The record is from RNAcentral. Lineage: Eukaryota; Metazoa; Chordata; Mammalia; Lagomorpha; Leporidae.
AUUUACAAAACUUGGACCCUAAACUGAUUAAUCUUUCAGGACCUGUCUAGGUUUGAAGUUCUGUGUGAAGAGAAACACGCACCUGGGAGUCAAUGCUCCAAGGUAUGUAGGUGCUUGCAGGAUAGCACUUGGGAAGGACAUGUAAUUCUAUGAUUCCAACUGAUCUUGAAGUUGAUUUACUGUAGGAAUAUGUAACUACUCGAUGCCAGGCCUCCUUCAAAGACCAGAAUUGAAGUUUAACUGCACAAGGUUUCAAUUUCUCAUUCCCUACCGAGAGAUGGAGAGAAUACAUUGAUACUGCAUUUCAAAUUGGCUAGAUCAGAAGGAACAGCAGCUAAAAUCCAUUACAACCCAAUUACAUCCAUCAGCUGAAGCUGUGUGCAUUCACUCGUGAACAUCAGCAUUUAAUCCAUAAAGAGGAACUAAUGAGAAAUUUGAAAAUGGAAUCCACGCAUCAGUAAGUUUG